Molecule: long non-coding RNA, 1229 nt
Organism: Eurytemora carolleeae
Lineage: Eukaryota; Metazoa; Arthropoda; Copepoda; Calanoida; Temoridae
Exons: 3
Source: RefSeq, a predicted model, not a curated record
UGAUGUGCUCACAUAUCCUGGAUUAGAUGAUACUUAUGAACCUGUUACUUCAAGAAUAAAUGCAAGCCAAGAUUCUAUUGUUACCUGGGUCGGCUUUCUGUUUAGAUUGUGGCAAGCAAAUAGCAGAGUUAGGCAUACCUAUUGAUCUCCGAGGAUUCUUAAUGUGUGCAGGAUGCAAUGUUAAUUCUUACACUCAAGAAGACCGGGUCAAGAAGACUAAACUGCUUGAUUUUAUUGCAACUAAAAUCACCAUUUUAUCUAAAUCAAUUCCUGAAGUUACAGGAACAGAUAGAAUACUGCGUUCACGUGCAAUGCAAAAUGUAUCUAAUUUUGAGUUCGAUGAUCAAGACAAUACUUAAUGUAACAAGAACACCACAGGCCUUGUUACAAUGAAUACAUAUUCCAGAGGACAUUUAUUUUUUGUGACCUCUGGUGGAUUUAUUCGCUAUUGGUAACCAUUAUACCGUUCUGAAUCAACCUCUCAAGUUGCGAUACCUACUAUCAAAUAUCUAGAACUGUAUUUGCGUGAAUAUGAGAACAUUGAUAAUACAUACUUGUUUUAUGAGAACAUGGUGAAAUAUCAUUUAAAAAUAGAAAAAAAUGAGUUUUUGCCACAAACUCAAAUUGUCUAAUCCCUAUAGGGUUGCAACCCUGAUGUAAAAUGUGCAAGCCUUAGAUACUUCAAACUUUAAUAUUGAUAUUUUUUACAAAAAUUUGCAAAAAAAAUUGAAUACCAGAGUUUGUGGCGAAGAUGCAAUGCCCUGAAAAUGUAUAUUUCUUUGGCCAUAAUAAUUGAUAUUUCAUCAUUUAAAGUGUAACUUGGAAAGAUUGAAACUAUGGAAUUGUGAUAUGGACCAACUAACUCCUGAUGCCAAACUAGGGCUGGCAGUGUUUAAUUCUAUAUCCAGGGGAGUUGAUGCCCUUCACAUAAAGAACCAUGUCAGAGACAAAUGCAGAAAAGAUUAUCCUGUUAUAAUUGAUAAUUUGAGGAAGACUUUUCCUCACCCCAAUACUGAGUCUGCAGAGCAGACAUUUGUCUGGCUUGGAAAAUAAGAAAAAAUUUUUGAAUUCAAUGAGCAACAGAAAACACCAUUUUUUCCUCCAUUGUCUUAUAAAGGAACGAAAUAGAUAUACUGAGUGGUGUUAUGCCAAUAACAUAAAGCCUAACCUCCCCCAAGUCAAUAGAGACAAACUAAUGAUCUCACCCUUGGAUUAAUCUAAUAUUAUUU